Molecule: ribosomal RNA, 460 nt
Filed under: uncultured bacterium
Lineage: Bacteria
Description: partial 16S ribosomal RNA
Rfam family: Bacterial small subunit ribosomal RNA
Source: RNAcentral
CCUACGGGUGGCUGCAGUGAGGAAUAUUGGUCAAUGGGCUUACGCCUGAACCAGCCAAGUCGCGUGAGGGAAGACUGCCCUAUGGGUUGUAAACCUCUUUUGUCAGGGAGCAAUUGGCGCUACGUGUAGCGUUAUCGAGAGUACCUGAAGAAAAAGCAUCGGCUAACUCCGUGCCAGCAGCCGCGGUAAUACGGAGGAUGCGAGCGUUAUCCGGAUUUAUUGGGUUUAAAGGGUGCGUAGGCGGAAUGCCAAGUCAGCGGUAAAAUCGCGGGGCUCAACCUCGCUCCGCCGUUGAAACUGGGGAUCUUGAGUGGGCGAGAAGUAUGCGGAAUGCGUGGUGUAGCGGUGAAAUGCAUAGAUAUCACGCAGAACUCCGAUUGCGAAGGCAGCAUACCGGCGCCCGACUGACGCUGAGGCACGAAAGCGUGGGGAUCGAACAGGAUUAGAUACCCCUGUAGUC